AUUGAACGCUGGCGGCAGGCCUAACACAUGCAAGUCGAGCGAGCGGCGGACGGGUGAGUAAUGAAUGGGGACUGCCAGAUAGAGGGGGAUAACUACUGGAAACGGUGGCUAAUACCGCAUACUAACGGAUAACCCAUAUGGGAUUAGCUAGUAGGUGGGGUAAAGGCUCACCUAGGAGAAGAUCUCUAGCUGGUCUGAGAGGAUGAUCAGCCACACUGGGACUGGGGAACGGCCCAAAAUCCUCCGGAGGCAGCAGUGGGGAAUAUUGCACAAUGCGCGAAAGCCUGGUGCAGCGACGCCGCGUGGGGGAUUAAGGCUUUCGGGUUGUAAACCUCUUUCGCUAUCGAACGGGUAGGUGGAGAAGAAGCGCCGGCUAACUACGUGCCAGCAGCCGCGGUAAUAC
Molecule: ribosomal RNA, 403 nt
Filed under: uncultured bacterium
Lineage: Bacteria
Description: partial 16S ribosomal RNA
Rfam family: Bacterial small subunit ribosomal RNA
Source: RNAcentral